AUGCUCAGGGGGUGCAUGCAACCAUCAUCACACCAGCAAGAUGAUAUUUUUUGUUGGUCACUUUCAGUCAGAGGAAAUGCAGAACUUGAUCCUGAGAUUGUUUUGUGGAUCCAAUGCAUCAAGGCCGAGAAACAAACCCACCCCAAGAUGUCAAAUGCUCACCACACAUCACUGCCCCAUUUUCACACAGCAGAAAGAGAAACCCCCAAACCAGCCAGCUGCCAGAAGAUACAAACAGCAGAGACAACACAUCAGAUUUGUCCCAAGGUACAUAAAAUGGCCCAUGGAUGCAUGCAUGCAUGCAUGCAUGAAUGUAUCCUAGCCAAGGCAAUUAAUUAUUAUUACUAUUAUUAUUAUUAA
RNAcentral lists this ribosomal RNA (360 nucleotides) under Triticum aestivum (bread wheat). RNAcentral's name for it is "partial small subunit ribosomal RNA". The record is from RNAcentral. Lineage: Eukaryota; Viridiplantae; Streptophyta; Magnoliopsida; Poales; Poaceae.